RNA transcript from Vespa mandarinia (Asian giant hornet), 6150 nucleotides. It is a transcript of the gene named dachshund family transcription factor, with no coding region annotated. Lineage: Eukaryota; Metazoa; Arthropoda; Insecta; Hymenoptera; Vespidae. The record is from RefSeq and is a predicted model, not a curated record.
ACGCCCAUCCUCCCCGUUCGCGGGGCUCCCACUGAUGUUUUUAUUUAUUACAUCUGUGACUGGGUAGGGAAAUACUCCGGACUCGACCGAGAGAGCGUUUGCCACUUUGAGAACGAGCGACGCGCGUCCCUGCGCGAGUUACCGUAGUCGUCGUCGCCGUCGUCGUCGUCGUCGUCGUCGUCGCCGUCGUCGUCGUCGUCGUCGUCGUCGUCGUCGUCGUCGCCGUCGUCGUCGUCGUCGUCGUCGCGGUGAUUUUCGUCGUCGUUGUCACCGCCGUCGUCGCCGUCGCCGUCGUCGGCGCUGGCAACCCACGUCGUCGCGUUCGCGUUUUCAACGAUCUCGAUCGAGUGUGGAUCGUCGAAUUGUCUGUGAUUGUCGCGAAACGUUAUCGGCAUUGUUGUCGUCGUAAUUGUUAUCAACGUUAUUGUCGUGCUCGUUUUUGUCGUCCUCAGGACGUCCUAGACGUCUCUGUUGGAGCCAAAAACGUUGCGAUGGACGACAAAUGGACGUCAACUCGUCCUUUCGUCUAAGUGUCAACAUUGAGACUCGCCAAAGAGAUAUGAUCAAGACUUGUCGUGUUCUCGCGUAUGGUGAACCUCGUACUUUCUCUUGCGAUAACACGGGACAAGGAUUUCUCAAGUGACAGUGAUAAGAUUUAUUGGGACGGUCGACAUUGUAUAUUACAACGACCCGGUGAUCCUAAGUCCGCGUGUUUUUCUUCGUAUGGUGAUAUAUAUCUUCGCGAGCAUCGUUAUUUGUUUUCAUUCAUAAAAGCGGUUCGUUGUUGUGACUUUGACGAUAAAGGCUGCUAUUGUUAAAACGACCAGAGAGGAAAGUGCCGGAGAGUACAAGUAGAAGAGUCGACGAAACGAGAAAACGAAAGCAGCGAGAAAAUUUAACCAUCGAUGGACCACGGAGCGAUGGACAGCUCUUCCGAACACAGCAGCCGUGCCAGUCCCGUAACCGGCAGCCCAAAACAUCCUCACAGUCCAUCAGCACAACAGAGUCAACAGCAACAGCAGCUGCACGGCUCCCAGCAUCAAUCCUCCUUACAAUCCCAUCCACGAGAUCAGUUACGUGAACAUCAACAGCAACAGCAGCAACAUCGAGGUGUACCGACACCAGGCUCACCGACGAGAGGAUCACCACCACAGGGUCUUCCCCUGAGUCCACCGCCUCUGUCGGCCGGGGGAGGGCCCGGUGCACCUCCAGGAAUGGUACCACGAAUGCCGGGACUACCGCCACCGGGACUGGGUCUUUUGGGUCAGUUAGGUGGUAUGCUAAGCGGUCAUCAUGGAUCGCCUUUGGAAUUGAUGGCUGCUCAUCACGCUGUAUUACCACCCAGAUCGUAUAACAGUCCACCGCCAAUCAGUACCAGUGAUCCAACGGCGAACGAAUGUAAACUCGUCGAUUAUCGUGGCCAGAAGGUCGCUGCCUUCAUUAUUGCCGGUGAUACUAUGCUCUGCUUGCCUCAGGCCUUUGAGCUCUUCCUCAAACAUCUCGUGGGUGGUUUACAUACCGUCUAUACCAAGCUAAAGAGACUAGAUAUCGUGCCGUUGGUAUGCAACGUCGAGCAGGUUAGAAUCCUACGCGGUCUCGGAGCCAUUCAACCGGGCGUCAAUCGUUGUAAACUUCUCAGCUGCAAGGACUUCGACAUUCUCUACAGGGACUGCACAACGGCCAGGUACGUUCCUUUAAGCUCCAGGCCAGGAAGACCCCCAAAGAGAGCUUCCGUUGGUUUGAGCCUCGCAGCAAGUCACCUAGCCGCGGCUGCCGGUCAUCAUCCACAGCAUUCCUUGAAGAAGCACAGGAUGGACAACGGCGAUUACUAUGAGAACGGACAUUUAGAUGUACCAAGGAUGGAAAAGUCACCGCUUUUAGCGAACGGCUAUAAUCAUCCACCCACACACCUCAGUCACAUGCAAUUCAUGCAGUUGGGAGGACACCCAGGUGCAGGACACACAGCCAUACUCUCACCAGCAAGUCUGCCGCAUCAUCUUCAAGCACAGGCUCAGGCUCGUGCCGAGCAAGGUCUCAAGGUUAACCCAAAUAUGACCAACAUCGAGGCGCUUGCGAGGUCCGGGACGGUAUGGGAAAACUGCCGAGCUGCCUACGAAGAUAUUGUCAAACACCUUGAAAGGCUUCGUGAAGAAAGAGGAGAUGCUGAAAGGGCUCUUGCAUUGGAUCACAAACCUAGGGAUCUUAGUUCGCACAAUGGUUCUUCGAACGGGCACAGUCCUGUGUUGAACCUCUCGAAGACAGCAGGAAGCGGCAGCGUUGGUGAACAUUCGGGAAGCGAAGCUGGAGCGUCGCAUCGUUCGCAAGACGACGAGGAAGAGGAUGAUAAUCUAUCAGAAGACCUCGAGGACGAGAACGAGAAGGACGAAGAUUUAUCGGACGUACCAGAGAACCUACCACUUCCAGCACCAGGCUCGGAGAGUCCUCAGGCAUUGAACUACUCUCAGAUAGCCUCAGCAGCAGUCGCAGUGUCACAGGGUGCUCAGGACCCUUCGGUUUCGAGUACGGAGACUUUGUUAAGGAAUAUCCAGGGUUUGCUCAAGGUCGCAGCUGACAACGCGAGGCAACAGGAGAGGCAAAUCAACUAUGAGAAAGCCGAGUUGAAGAUGGACGUUCUUCGUGAAAGAGAGGUGAAGGACAGCCUAGAACGGCAGCUUCAAGACGAGCAAAAAGUUCGAGUCGUCUAUCAAAAGCGGUUGAAGAAGGAACGAAGAGCGAGAAAGCGAUUGCAGGAGCAAUUAGAUCUGGAGAUAAAGAGGCGCACGCAAUUGGAGGAGGCACUUAAAGCCACGGGAGCUUCGUCCGAGCAAGUUCGAGCGAUCACUGAAAAUGUGACGACGGAAGCUCGUACAAGCUCAGAACCACCGGAAGCCAGUCCAGUACAUUCGCAAUCUCAGCAACAACCAUCCCAACAACAAUCCCAACAACAACCCCUUCAGCAACAACAAACAGCGGCGCAACAGUACAGAGAAGCUCAGGUUCCACGUCCGUCGCAACAACCUUCUACGCCGGAGAAGCCAGCAUGGGGAUACGGCCUGGACCUCAUCGGUAGUCAGGCAUCGGCCUUUUGGCAAAAUUACCAAGAAUCGCUGGUGCAGGAACUCGAGCUGGAGAGAAAAUCGCGGCAGCAUCAGGUGGCCGAGAGGGACCAAGUUAAGUCUCCUCUUCAAGAAUCGCGGACAGGCUAUUACAAAAAUUCAGUACUGUUUACGAGUGCGACUUAGAAGAUGCAGGAAGAAACUGGAAGAGGCGUAGAGCGUAUCAAUCGAAACGAUUGAGAUCAGGUCGAGGACGAUAAUAAAAGAAUGGAUAUAUGGAAGAGGACACAGGGACAAAGGGGAAGAAGAUUGUUCCGUUUACCAAAUGAGUUGGAAAGAGAAAGAAUGGAAAACGGCUAAACCAGACCAUGGACGAAGAAGAUAAAGAAGAAGAAGAAGAAGAAAAAAAAGAAGAAGAAAAAUAGGAGGAGGAAGAAGAAGAAGAAAAGGAAGAAGAAGAAGAAAUGAGACAAGGAAAAUUGAAAAGACUCUCUCAGUGAUUUGCGCAGCGUCAGCGAUAGCAGAGCUGGUCAGUUUGCUGAAAAAAAAAUAGAUUCAGAGAGAGAGAGAGAGAGAGAGAGAGAAAGAGAGAGAGGGUGAGAGGGUGAGAAUGAGAAAAUAGAAAAGAGAGAGAAAGAGAGAAAGAAAGAGAGGAAUGUAUAGAAAUUUUAUCGAGUCGUGUCGCUUCGUUCGUGUUUAUUGUUUUUUCUUUACCUUUUUUUUUUCUUUUCUCCUUAUCGAUAAGAUUUUUAAACAAUCUCCUGAUCUUCUUUUCUGUUUGUCUUUUUUUUUCUUUCUUUUCUUUUCUUUUUUUUUUUAUUCUUUUCCUUUUUUAUUCUUCCUUCUUCUUUUAAUCACGACCGAAAGGGAAAACGGGAGGAUGGGGGUCCGGGGAGGGGACGAGUUAAUGUAUAAUAAAAUAUGUGACGAGCCACGACUCCAGUAAUGUAUUAUAACAAGAGACACAGACAGACACAGAGAAAGACAAACAGAGAGAGAGAGAGAGAGAGAGAGAGAGAGAAAGAGUGUGUGUGUGCGUAUGUGUGUGUGAAAGUGAGAGUACAUAGUGAAAAUUAUCGUGAAAGAAAAGUAACGAUAAGUUAAAUACGAUAAGAGAGGCAAAGAGAGAAAGAGAGAGAGAGCGAAAAAGAGAGAAAAAAUGGACCGUACGUCGAAACGAAAUCUUGAAAGAAUCGUAUUGUAAAGGAUAAAAGUUUGUGUGCGUGCGUGCGCGUAUGUAUGCGAGAGAGUAUAUAACGAAGAAAGACAGAUAGAGAGAAAGAGAGAGAGAGAGAGAGAGAGAGAGAGAGAGAGAGAGAAAGAGAGAGAGAGAUAGAGAGAGAGACAAACAGAGAAUCGAUUCUCCUGGCAUCUUAAAAAAAAAAAAAAAUCAUAACGCAUUAUUUAUAUAUAAAUAACUUAGUUAAUACCGAAAGCAAGUAAGUCUAAUCCAUAUUGCGUGUGUCCCGCGUUUCGCAUCGGUCGUCCGAAGAAGAAUAAGAAGAAGAAGAAGAAGAAGAAGAAGAUGAAAAUGAAGAUAAAGAAGAAGAAGAAGAAGAAGAAGAAGAAAAAUUGAAAAGAACAUUACACGGUGAAAUAUUUCUCGUGCGUUUACCAGAGAGAUGAAAAUAAAUAACGUAAACAUAAAUAUAUCGAUCAAACGUUUGUUGCGCGCGCGUUCGAACGAGAAAAAGGAGAUGGAAGGAUGGGGGGGGGAGGAAAAAAAAAAGAUAAAUAAAACGAGCGACACACGAAGUUAACCGAUAAGGGAAUGGUUAAGGAUUCGAGCUGGGUCUCUUGGGGAGGGAAGGUUGGAGUAGGGAGGAGGGGAAGGGGAUUAAAGAGGUGAAUUUAAUUUAGUGGUGAAAAAAAAGGUUUAAAAGAAAAAAGAUACGAAGAAGAAAAAGAAGAGGAAAAGGAAGAAGAAGAAGAAGAAGAAGAAGAAAAGGAAGAAAAAAUAAAAAAACGCACGAAGAAAUAUUUCGUCGGAGAAGGACGAAUCCCAUCAUAUUUAAGAUCCAUGUACAAAGUCUUUUGCCGUAAGAUUCUUGUGUUGUAAAGUUCACAUAAUCAUAGUGUCUAGAUCGUAAUUGGCUAAAGCCCCGUUAAGACGAUGCUACACGUAGAGAACCACCGAUUAGCUGAUCCGUACUUUGCCAUCGUCAUUAAGACGAUUGAUUGGCAAGUAGAAGGAGGAGGAAUAGGAGGAGGAAGAGGAAAAGGAGGAGGAGGAGAAGCAAGUGAAGGCGACGAAGUGAUGAGAUAAUAGAAAGGAAACGACAAUUUUCUUCUGAUAAGAAAAUCAUUCUGAAUGAAGUUUAUUCUCGAUCGUGGAAAAUAUUCUCCUGUGAUUUUCGAAAAUCAACAAAAUCUUAAUAUAAAGAAUAUAAUAAAAUUUGUCGAACGGAGAGAGAGAGAGAGAGAGAGAGAGAGAGAGAGAGAGAGAGAGAGAGAGAGAGAGAGAGAGAGCAAGAUAAAUUUCGCAAGCAUUUUCAAGUCUGUAAAUAUCUCUUUUCGUAUUCAUUAACUAUUAUCUAAAUAAUAAUUAAUUAAAAAGUUUUUCAAACUACAGCGAUCAUAAAUAAUUUACUUAUAAUAUAUUACAUUUUUCUAAGCUAAGAAAAUGAAUUAAUAUUUAAUCGAAAUUGUUUCGAUCCACGAUCGACGCUAAAAUCGUAAUGAAUUUUUUUACGAGGGAAUAAGUAAGAGGUGAUCCAAAAAUAAAAAACAAAAAAAAAAAGAAAAUAAUAGUAAUAAUAAUAAUAAUAAUAAUAAUAAUAAUAAUAAUAAUAAUAAUAAUAAUAAUAAAGAAAAAAAACGGAUUAGAAAAUGCGAAUAGAAUAUUUCGGAUAGAGAGUGAGAGUGAGAGAGAGAGAGAGAGAGAGUGAGAGAGAGAGAAGGGGGAAAGGAAAGAGAGAGAGGGGGAAGGGAGAGAAUAGGAUUAAAAUUAUCGCUACUUUGCCAAUCACGACGACGGGAUCAGCAAAUCCAGCGAUUUUUUCGCGAGCGGAACUUAUACAAUCUAGUAUCGAGGCAAGAAGUGUAUUCAUUGUAAUUCAGCAUUAUUACCUAUAAAUAAAUAGUUGUUAUUCUA